Molecule: long non-coding RNA, 562 nt
Organism: Stylophora pistillata
Lineage: Eukaryota; Metazoa; Cnidaria; Anthozoa; Scleractinia; Pocilloporidae
Source: RefSeq, a predicted model, not a curated record
GGAAAGAACGACCACAAACAAUGAGAUCAAAGCUGCUUGAGCAAAAAUCGGCCUCCAAAAAUCAAAGAAGCACUUUCCGGUCAACAUAUAAAAAUCCGUGAGUUCCACUCGGAGGAAGUGAGACAUACUGACGCCGCUAACUGACUUUAUUCCUUUAAAAAUCGGAAGAAGCACAAGGAGACAAGGUGUAUAGUCGAGGUCUGCUGAGAAUUAAUGGCUUCUACAAAGAUAAACGCUGCAUUUCUGGUUUUUCUAGCUGUUUUCGCUUUUCUAACAAGUGAGACAUCAUGCCAUUUGAGGGUGGGAAAAAAAGAAAUUGUACCCUUGGAGCACGACCUUGGAGAAUUGUUUAAAAACCGGAGAAAAAUGAACUUAGUAGAAAACAAGAGAAAAUUUCAUCGAAGAGACAACUGGAGGCCCGGAACAAAAGUACUGCCAGAGUUCUAUAGAGAAUGAGAACAUCGGAUGACCAAGAUGCCGUAGGAUAUCAUGGGUAAUCAAGUCAAAGAACAAGACUGUUUAGCUUAUAAUUAGCAUAUUAAUUCUGGUAGUUAGCUUAAAA